GCCUAGCCCUGAUAGCAGUGAAAAUCCUUUUUGUUUUUUCUUUAAAAACAAAAAGAUUACUUCACAUAAAUUAUAUUUUUAGUGGAGUUCAGUGAACUUCGUUUGCAACGGAUAGCAGGAAAAAGC
This 126-nucleotide small RNA is filed under the name Flavobacterium sp. 1. Its description in RNAcentral is "Flavo-1 RNA". It matches the Rfam family "Flavo-1 RNA". Lineage: Bacteria; Pseudomonadati; Bacteroidota; Flavobacteriia; Flavobacteriales; Flavobacteriaceae. The record is from RNAcentral.